CAGCCGUAAACUAUGCUCGCUAGGUGUCAGGGACGGUGCGACCGUUUCUGGUGCCGCAGGGAAGCCGUGAAGCGAGCCACCUGGGAAGUACGGUCGCAAGGCUGAAACUUAAAGGAAUUGGCGGGGGAGCACUACAACGGGUGGAGCCUGCGGUUUAAUUGGAUUCAACGCCGGAAAUCUUACCGGGACCGACAGCAACAUGAAGGCCAGGCUGAAGACUUUGCCGGAUUAGCUGAGAGGUGGUGCAUGGCGUAGACGUCU
RNAcentral lists this ribosomal RNA (261 nucleotides) under uncultured archaeon. RNAcentral's name for it is "partial 16S ribosomal RNA". It matches the Rfam family "Archaeal small subunit ribosomal RNA", at positions 748 to 1009 of the family's 1478-position model. The record is from RNAcentral.